GACGAACGCUGGCGGCGUGCUUAACACAUGCAAGUCGAACGGAAAGGCCCUGCUUUUGUGGGGUUCUCGAGUGGCGAACGGGUGAGUAACACGUGAGUAACCUGCCCUUGACUUUGGGAUAACUUCAGGAAACUGGGGCUAAUACCGGAUAGGAGCUCCUGCUCCAUGGUGUGGGUUGGAAAGUUUCGGCGGUUGGGGAUGGACUCGCAGCUUAUCAGCUUGUUGGUGGGGUAGUGACUUACCAAGGCUUCGACGGGUAGCCGGCCUGAGAGGGUGAACGGCGACCUGGGGACUGAGGUACGGCGCAGACUGCUACGGGACGCAGCAGUCGGGAAUAUUGCAGAAUGGGCGGAAGCCUGAUGCGGCGACGCCGCGUGCGGGAUGCCGGCCUUCGGGUUGUAAACCGAUUUGGCAUGUAACGAAGCGUGAGUGACGGUAAUGGGUAAAGAAGCAACGGCUAACUACGUG
This 468-nucleotide ribosomal RNA is filed under the name uncultured bacterium. Its description in RNAcentral is "partial 16S ribosomal RNA". It matches the Rfam family "Bacterial small subunit ribosomal RNA", at positions 28 to 507 of the family's 1533-position model. The record is from RNAcentral.